CAGCCGUAAACUAUGCGCGUUAGGUGUAUCGGUGACCACGAGUUACCGAGGUGCCGAAGGGAAACCGUGAAACGUGCCGCCUGGGAAGUACGGUCGCAAGGCUGAAACUUAAAGGAAUUGGCGGGGGAGCACCACAACAGGUGGAGCCUGCGGUUUAAUUGGACUCAACGCCGGGAAGCUCACCGGAUAGGACAGCAGAAUGAUUGCCGGGCUGAAGACCCUGCAUGACUAGCUGAGAGGUGGUGCGACUGAGA
RNAcentral lists this ribosomal RNA (254 nucleotides) under uncultured archaeon. RNAcentral describes it as "partial 16S ribosomal RNA". It matches the Rfam family "Archaeal small subunit ribosomal RNA", at positions 748 to 1003 of the family's 1478-position model. The record is from RNAcentral.